GCAGAACUUGGCACACCGUAGACAAUCAAUAAAUGUUUAUUGGAAGGGAUAAUGAAGGAAUAUCCUCUCACAGUGUGCUGUGAGAGAUAAACGAGGGAUCGGACAGGACCGGAUCUGCUUGCAAGCUGCAGAGUCCAAUGCAAAUGGCAUCUACUGUCUCGCUGAGGUACAGCUGGUGUUGCUAGCUUGGUGACACUGUGAUUUCCAACCUCUCCUUUUGGCUGUCAUUUUACUAUUGCUAGAUGGCCACUGAAGCUCCAGACAUCAAAUCCACAUUCCAGGCAGACGGAGAUGACAAAAAGCAAAAGGAAAGAGGAAACAGCAGUAACAUUCACCAGUUUUUAGGACAAUAAAAUAUUUUCUUAAUGUGUAAGAGCACAUUUCUGCUUUGAUUUCCCUGUGGGGAGCUGUUCACCCGAGCAUCCAGCAGCUAAGGGUUAUGGAGAGUCAGCAUCUCCUUCACUGAUACUCCACAGGUGAGGAAGGGAGUGGUGGGAGACGGGAUCACAGAAGGAGUAUCGGCCCCAGAGAAUAUGUGGGCUGUCCACUCUAUACAGGAAGCGUAAAGAAACCCCAAGAGGGGUAGCUGUGCCUCUCCACUGUCACUGGCCUCGCUCAGCCUCACAACCCUGCAUGCCUGUUGUCAUAGAUUCUCUGAUCUUCUGGAACACGCAUGCAGAUAGCCACAGCCCUGGUUUCUUCCCUUCCUUCUUGUUUCUUCAAAGCACUGAAGCUUAAAAAAAAAAAAAAACUACGUCUUUCAACGUGAACCACGUCCUGCUCUCAUUAAUUCCACCCUUGGGGACUUAGCUGCCAGCCUAAAGGAAGCUGGUGACGAUGCAAGCCAAAGGUCCCCCGGGCCUGUAACCAAGUCAUUGCUAAGGACUCUAUCAAGGACACUGAGAUGGAAAUGCCGGGAGAGCCAGCUGCAGAUCUUGGGCAAACCCUGGAGUGGCUGAGGGAGGAGCUGGCUGAGAUGCAGAUCCAAGACCAGCAGCUACUGUUCACACUGAGGCAUCUGCACAGCCUCCUGGAGGAGCUUCGAGCUGAAAGCACCCACUGGGUGGACACAAGGCCCAGCAGAAGCACAUCUCCUUUCCGAGUGAGGCUGGGAUCAGAGGGCAGGGCCUGCCAGCCUGUGCCAAGGCAACUGCCGCAGCUGCUCCAAGAGGAAAAGAACAGGCGAAGCUCCCUUCCUUAACCAGCCAGAGGAUGCUCAUUAAAUUCUCCUACUGCUAGUAUAAAUUGUGUCUGCUAUGUGUCCUUGAAUCUGUCACUUCUUAACUAUCUCUGUCAUUUGCCAGAGGGAGAGUGUGUGUGUGUGUGUGUGUGUGUGUGUGUGUGUGUGUGUGAUAAAUUAUAUGUUUUAUAAGGGUUUAUAUAGCUUUCACCGAGGGUGAUAAUUCUAGCUCUAGUAAUUUUUCACAGGGCAAUUGUUAAAGAAAGAUUAUAAUGUGCAAAGAUGGUUGGUUACCUACUGUUACCUUGCUGAAAAAUCAGAACAUCUAUAGUGACUUCCUGACUAUUCUCUGUGUUCCUGUUAGGCCCUCUUGUCCCCCUUUAUCUGAUAAUGAAAAGUCCUGUUGCACCACAGAUCACAGAGACAAGCAUGUCAAACAUAUAAUUCAUGUUGGCUCUAACAUUGUGAUUCAUGAUUGGCUUAAUUCAUGGGCAUGUGACUCAACAAAGCCAACCACAACCCUUCCCUGGGAUUGCUAUCUGGACACUGCCAACCACACUCCCACAGGUAGUUCAAUUUCUUUUAGGCUGUGUUGACCUUUGCCAAUAAGCAGUGUAGGGUUAGACUCCAGAGCAAGGGGUGAAAGGAGAGACUGGUUCCUUUGUCCCCUGCAGUAUCUUAGAGAUCUCUUGCAACCCUCGAUGUCACCCACCAGAGCUGCUUCACUUCAGUAGGUGGCACCAGCUCUGAGUCUAAGACCCAGUCUGGAGGCCCCUUCUAAGCUCAGACGCUCCCCCUGCCCCCUUCAGAUAUCUGCAGGCCAGCUCUUCAGGCUCCCGUCUGUGUGGUUUAAAUUUUAAUCCCUCAGCUUCAUUGCUCCCCAGCACUGGGGGUGGCAGAUUCUUCCUGUAAUUGUUAGCUUGGAGUUCUUUUUAUAACCUCUCGUCUAUUCAGUUGACUUUAUACUUAGUUAAUAAUUCUUUAUAUUAAAUUCUGUGCUUCAAAAAGAAGAAGUAGAAGAAGAAGAAGAAGAAGAAGAAGAAGAAGAAGAAGAAGAAGAAGAAGAAGAAGAAGAAGAAGAAGAAGAAGAAGAGGAGGAGGAGGAGGAGGA
Rattus norvegicus (Norway rat) is the source of this 2291-nucleotide long non-coding RNA. NCBI's taxonomy places the organism in Eukaryota, Metazoa, Chordata, Mammalia, Rodentia, Muridae. The record is from Ensembl.